RNAcentral lists this ribosomal RNA (484 nucleotides) under uncultured bacterium. RNAcentral describes it as "partial 16S ribosomal RNA". It matches the Rfam family "Bacterial small subunit ribosomal RNA", at positions 30 to 507 of the family's 1533-position model. The record is from RNAcentral.
AUUGAACGCUGGCGGCAGGCCUAACACAUGCAAGUCGAGCGGAUGAAGGGAGCUUGCUCCUGGAUUCAGCGGCGGACGGGUGAGUAAUGCCUAGGAAUCUGCCUGGUAGUGGGGGAUAACGUCCGGAAACGGGCGCUAAUACCGCAUACGUCCUGAGGGAGAAAGUGGGGGAUCCUCGGACCUCACGCUAUCAGAUGAGCCUAGGUCGGAUUAGCUAGUUGGUGGGGUAAAGGCCUACCAAGGCGACGAUCCGUAACUGGUCUGAGAGGAUGAUCAGUCACACUGGAACUGAGACACGGUCCAGACUCCUACGGGAGGCAGCAGUGGGGAAUAUUGGACCAUGGGCGAAAGCCUGAUCCAGCCAUGCCGCGUGUGUGAAGAAGGUCUUCGGAUUGUAAAGCACUUUAAGUUGGGAGGAAGGGCAGUAAGUUAAUACCUUGCUGUUUUGACGUUACCAACAGAAUAAGCACCGGCUAACUUCGUG